UGGACAGACCCAAGAAAGAUGCUGAUCCAUUGGAGCAGGCCCAGUGAAGAGCCACGGGAAUGAUGAAAGGAUUAGAAACCCUGCCUGAUAGCGAUAGGCUCAAAGAGCCCAAUCGGUUUAGUUUAACAAAGGGAAAGUUUAGGCUGAUCACAGUGUCUGCAGAAAUGGAAGGUGGGAAUAAAAUGAAAAUAGAUUCCCACAGCGUUUCUGCUGGAUGUUGUGUGACGUUAGCAGAAGGUCAAAAAAGCCUCCAAGCCCCAGGAGGAGUCAGCACGUUCUCCUCAGCAGCAAAAUGUUCCUUUAGCACAAGGUAAGAAACAGCUAAUCACACACACCCGUUCUAUUCUCCCUCUCUCUCUCCCACAGUCGGGGGGACCAGAGGGCAUGUGUAAAUGAGCCCCUCUCCCAAUGCACCAGGCCACAGCACAACCGUGACCUCUCUCCCACCCAGCCACCCCCACAAAGCCACGAGUGUAGGGAAGGGAGCGAGAUCAGCCUGGGGAGGACGGGCCCAUCCAUGUGAAAUGUGCUAUAAGGCAGCCAAACACAAAGUCCUUGGGACAAAGGCCUUGGCUGCGGAAUGGAGGACUGAGGCCGGCAGAGCUGAGAAUGGUUUAGGAGUUUGAGGAGCAAAGAAACUAACCCAAGGUGACACAGCAGAACAAGACUCACUCGGUCUGGCUGCCUUUUCUGGCAGUGCACAGUGCUGUUGUAGCCAUGUAAGUUGCAGGAUAUUAGAGCGACAAAGUGGGGGAGGAGAUGUCUUUCAUUGGACCAACUUCUGUUGGCGAGAGAGACCAGCUUUCGAGCUUACACAGUGGAAGUACAUAGUAAAAACACGCGUAUAGUUCCAAUGAAAACCUGGCUUUAAUUUCCAAUUCCAAAAGCAUUUUCUGUUGACUCCUUUAGCUCAGCAGGAAGCUUCUGCUGCCACAUCGAUAAAAGACGUUGAU
Mauremys reevesii (Reeves's turtle) is the source of this 953-nucleotide long non-coding RNA. RefSeq lists it as uncharacterized. NCBI's taxonomy places the organism in Eukaryota, Metazoa, Chordata, Testudines, Geoemydidae. The record is from RefSeq and is a predicted model, not a curated record. The transcript has 3 exons.